This is a non-coding RNA of Paramuricea clavata, 138 nucleotides long. NCBI's taxonomy places the organism in Eukaryota, Metazoa, Cnidaria, Anthozoa, Malacalcyonacea, Plexauridae. The record is from the annotation of a GenBank genome assembly.
CCGUUUAAACAGGGCUUUAGACUUGCUCCAAGUCUCUCUUUCAUUGUCAUAUAUAGCUACGUCAUAUAAUGUACACUAUAGUGGAUUGAUAUGACAAUGAAAGAGAGACUUGGAGCAAGUCUAGGGCAAACUGGGCAA